This 492-nucleotide ribosomal RNA is filed under the name uncultured bacterium. Its description in RNAcentral is "partial 16S ribosomal RNA". It matches the Rfam family "Bacterial small subunit ribosomal RNA", at positions 29 to 507 of the family's 1533-position model. The record is from RNAcentral.
AGUGAACGCUGGCGGUAGGCCUAACACAUGCAAGUCGAACGGCAGCACAGUAAGAGCUUGCUCUUACGGGUGGCGAGUGGCGGACGGGUGAGGAAUACAUCGGAAUCUACUUUUUCGUGGGGGAUAACGUAGGGAAACUUACGCUAAUACCGCAUACGACCUACGGGUGAAAGCAGGGGAUCUUCGGAUCUUGCGCGAUUGAAUGAGCCGAUGUCGGAUUAGCUAGUUGGCGGGGUAAAGGCCCACCAAGGCGACGAUCCGUAGCUGGUCUGAGAGGAUGGUCAGCCACACUGGAACUGAGACACGGUCCAGACUCCUACGGGAGGCAGCAGUGGGGAAUAUUGGACAAUGGGCGCAAGCCUGAUCCAGCCAUACCGCGUGGGUGAAGAAGGCCUUCGGGUUGGAAAGCCCUUUUGUUGGGAAAGAAAAGCAGCAGGUUAAUACCCCGCUGUUCUGACGGUACCCAAAGAAUAAGCACCGGCUAACUUCGUG